Non-coding RNA from Notechis scutatus (mainland tiger snake), 533 nucleotides. NCBI's taxonomy places the organism in Eukaryota, Metazoa, Chordata, Lepidosauria, Squamata, Elapidae. The record is from the annotation of a RefSeq genome assembly.
AGGCUACACCCACCAAAACAAAGUUUGUGCACUGUCCCCAUAUUCUUUCCUAUCAAUUCUCUUCCAUUCCUUACAAGAGUGCAAAUAUGAUUUUGUGCCUAAACUUGCUGUCCUUACUAGCAGUCCUCCAAGGUGUCCAAUCUGAUGUCCAGUUGGUGGAGUCUGGAGGGGAUGUGAGAAAGCCUGGAGAGUCCCUCCGUCUUUCCUGCCAAGCCUCUGGAUUCAGCUUCAGCAGCUAUUACAUGGACUGGGUGAGACAGGCUCCAGGGAAAGGACUGGAAUGGGUUGGAGAAAUAGGUACAUCCUCAUCUCCAAUCCGCUACUCAGCCAAAGUCAAGGGCCGCUUCACCAUCUCCAGGGAUGAUUCCCGCAGUCAGCUGUUUCUGCAAUUGAACAAUCUGAAACAGGAGGACACGGCAGUCUAUUAUUGUGUGGGAGACACAUUGAGAGGAAGUGAAUCUGAAACUAGUCAAGAACUUUCUCUAUCUUUGAGUAGCUCUCAAAUUUAUGCAGUUAUAGAAAUUUCUUUUUAA